Molecule: ribosomal RNA, 390 nt
Filed under: uncultured bacterium
Lineage: Bacteria
Description: bacterial SSU rRNA
Rfam family: Bacterial small subunit ribosomal RNA
Source: RNAcentral
GACGAACGCUGGCGGCGUGCUUAACACAUGCAAGUCGAGCGGUAAGGCCCUUUCGGGGGUACGACGAGCGGCGAACGGGUGAGUAACACGUGGGUGACCUGCCCUUACGCUCUGGGAUAAGCCUGGGAAACUGGGUCUAAUACCGGAUAUGACUCCAUGACGCAUGUUGUGGGGUGGAAAGCCUUGUGCGGCUAGGGAUGGGCCCGCGGCCUAUCAGCUUGUUGGUGGGGGUGAGGCCGUACCAAGGCGACGACGGGUAGCCGGCCUGAGAGGGCGACCGGCCACACUGGGACUGAGACACGGCCCAGACUCCUACGGGAGGGCAGCAGUGGGGAAGUCUUGCGCAAUGGGCGAAAGCCUGACGCAGCGACGCCGCGUGGGGAGUGACGG